GAUGAACGCUGGCUGCGUGCCUAAUACAUGCAAGUCGCGCGGACGGACGAGAAGCUUGCUCCUCUGAUGUUAGCGGCGGACGGGUGAGUGACACGUGGAUAACCUACCUAUAAUACUCGGAUAACUUAGGGGACCCGGAGCUAAUACCGGCUGAUAUUUUUCACCGCAUGGUUCCAGAGUGAAACGCGGUCUUGCUGUCACUUAUAGAUGGAUCCGCGCUGCAUUAGCUAGUUGGUAAGGUAACGGCUUACCAAGGCAACGAUGCAUAGCCGACCUGAGAGGGUGAUCGGCCACACUGGAACUGAGACACGGUCCCGACUCCUACGGGAGGCCGCAGUAGGGAAUCUUCCACAAUGGGCGAAAGCCUGACGGAGCAACGCCGCGUGAGUGAUGAAGGUCUUCGGAUCGUAAAACUCUGUUAUUAGGGAAGAACAUAUGUGUAAGUAACUGUGCACAUCUUGACGGUACCUAAUCAGAAAGCAACGGCUAACUACGUG
This 497-nucleotide ribosomal RNA is filed under the name uncultured bacterium. RNAcentral describes it as "partial 16S ribosomal RNA". It matches the Rfam family "Bacterial small subunit ribosomal RNA", at positions 28 to 507 of the family's 1533-position model. The record is from RNAcentral.